This 113-nucleotide ribosomal RNA is filed under the name Resinicium friabile. RNAcentral describes it as "5.8S ribosomal RNA". The stretch from base 13 to 113 matches the Rfam family "5.8S ribosomal RNA", at positions 1 to 101 of the family's 154-position model. Rfam says of the family: 5.8S ribosomal RNA (5.8S rRNA) is a component of the large subunit of the eukaryotic ribosome. It is transcribed by RNA polymerase I as part of the 45S precursor that also contains 18S and 28S rRNA. The record is from RNAcentral. Lineage: Eukaryota; Fungi; Basidiomycota; Agaricomycetes; Hymenochaetales. RNAcentral also lists the same sequence under 2 other names.
AUAAGUUAAUACAACUUUCAACAACGGAUCUCUUGGCUCUCGCAUCGAUGAAGAACGCAGCGAAAUGCGAUAAGUAAUGUGAAUUGCAGAAUUCAGUGAAUCAUCGAAUCUUU